ACCAUGGAACUGUUCUGUGACUGUGUCCAGAGCACCCAAAUUACAAUUGAAUCUGUGAAAUGCUUGUUAUUCUGCAUAAAUAGGUGCAGCUGUAAGUGCAUGUGAAAUCAGCUCAUGAUUAGUUAGAAAAGCAGUGAUGCAGUUCAGUGGGACUGGCUGAUGGCUUUUUCAGCCCAUUAAAAGGAAGAAGAAAUUGAGUUCCAGGGCCAAAUGGCAGAACAUUACCUAAGAUAUUAAAAACGACCAAAAAACAACAAAGGAAAAGAUCAUAGUUGCAAUUAAUCACAAGCCUUAAAAUAUUCAAGGAGAAAAAGUGGGAAGGAGACAAAAUAAUUAAUAGCAUGAAGAAAUGAAAAUUCUCAGUCCUGAGGUACGAGGACAGGGACACUUAAUGGAACAGAAAGCAGCAGAACUGCUGGAAGCACCUACUUAUCCCAAAAGCCAUUAGCUGAGGAGACUCAUUGUCACCACAGGUUAUUAACGUGAGGAGCUCAGCAGGAGCCCUUUGAAGAGCUGCUAUGUUGAUGAGUGGAUUCAGAAUUCAUAAAAAAAUAUUAAUGGAAUAAAACUGAAAGCCCACAAAGCUUUUAA
Molecule: long non-coding RNA, 591 nt
Organism: Passer domesticus (house sparrow)
Lineage: Eukaryota; Metazoa; Chordata; Aves; Passeriformes; Passeridae
Exons: 2
Source: RefSeq, a predicted model, not a curated record